UACGUAGGUCCCGAGCGUUGUCCGGAUUUAUUGGGCGUAAAGCGAGCGCAGGUGGUUUAUUAAGUCUGGUGUAAAAGGCAGUGGCUCAACCAUUGUAUGCAUUGGAAACAGGUAGACUUGAGUGCAGGAGAGGAGAGUGGAAUUCCAUGUGUAGCGGUGAAAUGCGUAGAUAUAUGGAGGAACACCGGUGGCGAAAGCGGCUCUCUGGCCUGUAAUUGACACUGAGGCUCGAAAGCGUGGGGAGCAAACAGG
This 252-nucleotide ribosomal RNA is filed under the name uncultured bacterium. Its description in RNAcentral is "partial 16S ribosomal RNA". It matches the Rfam family "Bacterial small subunit ribosomal RNA", at positions 524 to 776 of the family's 1533-position model. The record is from RNAcentral.